This 472-nucleotide ribosomal RNA is filed under the name uncultured bacterium. RNAcentral describes it as "bacterial SSU rRNA". It matches the Rfam family "Bacterial small subunit ribosomal RNA", at positions 355 to 825 of the family's 1533-position model. The record is from RNAcentral.
UCGGGAAUUUUGGGCAAUGGGCGAAAGCCUGACCCAGCAACGCCGCGUGGAGGAUGAAGGUCUUCGGAUCGUAAACUCCUGUCAGAUGGGGCGAAGGUCCACUGCCUAAUACGCAGUGGUCUUGACGGUACCUGGAGAAUAAGCUCCGGCUAACUCCGUGCCAGCAGCCGCGGUAAUACGGAGGGAGCUAGCGUUGUUCGGAAUUACUGGGCGUAAAGCGUACGUAGGCGGUGACUCAAGUCAGAGGUGAAAGCCUGGAGCUCAACUCCAGAACUGCCUUUGAAACUAGGUCGCUAGAAUCACGGAGAGGUGAGUGGAAUUCCGAGUGUAGAGGUGAAAUUCGUAGAUAUUCGGAAGAACACCAGUGGCGAAGGCGGCUCACUGGACGUGUAUUGACGCUGAGGUACGAAAGCGUGGGGAGCAAACAGGAUUAGAUACCCUCGUAGUCCCUGAGCGGGCUGGCAAGGCGCAU